CGCGGGGUGGAGCAGCCCGGUAGCUCGCCAGGCUCAUAACCUGGAGGUCGUCCGUUCAAAUCGGACCCCCGCAACCA
Molecule: transfer RNA, 77 nt
Filed under: Mesorhizobium sp.
Lineage: Bacteria; Pseudomonadati; Pseudomonadota; Alphaproteobacteria; Hyphomicrobiales; Phyllobacteriaceae
Description: tRNA-Met
Rfam family: tRNA
About the family: Transfer RNA (tRNA) molecules are approximately 80 nucleotides in length. Their secondary structure includes four short double-helical elements and three loops (D, anti-codon, and T loops).
Source: RNAcentral